GAAGACCCUCAGGGGCAGGCGGGGUGGGGCCGGGAGGGACCGGCGGAGCCCCCAGUGCCUUCAUUCCUUGGGGACACGUAUUCCCUGGUGGAGGGGCCGGGCCCCUCCACUUGAGGUCCUGGAUCUGGGCGCUUCGGGUGGGGUCGCCCAGGAAUCCCCGGAUCUGCUGAGCUGUUCCGCGGCUCUGAGCCCACGCGGGGCCGAGGAGGAGCCGGCGUGAGAACAAACCCCGGCUGUGGCCUUCGAGAGCCAUGCACGACGUCACGGGCUGGGUAACCACGAGCCCAAGUCCACCCUCGUGCCGCGACAGCUCAUCCUGGUGGAGGGCGCAGGCCGGCCCACGGGCUCCCUGCUCACGGGUGACUCUGCCUCCCCGAGCUGUGGUCACGCAGAGGCCGGGUGGGGGCCUCACAUCCCACUGAAAGCAGCCCACUGGCCCCGGCCCGGCCGUCUCCUGCUGGGUCUGAACCUGGGUGGGCGCUGCAGCGGCCCUGGGGGCUGCACGGAAGAUGGGGUGAGGCUAGGCCAGAGCUGGGGCUCGGAGCGGUUUUCCUCUCGGAGACUGUCGGGACGACCAGGGGCCAACCCUGAGCCCAGCUCCCGCGGCUCCUCUCCAGCUUCCCCGCGCGAGUCCCUGUCCCUGGGCCCUGCUCAUAGGGACACCCGUGACGCUGGCCCCGAGGCCCUGUCCAGCCUGCCCCACCGUGACUCGGUCCUCAGCACCCUCUUUAGCUCUGCAGCCCUUUCCAGGGCCUGUCACCAAACGCAGUCACACUCUGAUGUCCUGCAUGGUGGAUCCCGACAUCUGACUUUGGGGGCACCGUUCGGCCCCUAGCGUCCUGGAGGAAGGAGGCGGGUUGCCAGGUGCGGGGGGCUAACUCCGCCUGUGGCAGCUCCUGGGCUGGACCCUCCCGGAGAGGCGCGGCAGGCAGGAGGGAUGAGGACAGAGGCGCCCAGAGGCCCAGGCCCUGGUGAGGCCUCCUGGGUCCCCGGGCGGCUUUAGACUGGCCACCUGCUCAGGACCCCUGCCUGCCCGUCCACCUGCUGGCGCCUCUCUGCCCAUGCUGGGCUCUGAAAUCCAGGAAGGACAACCAAGAAGGCCGCGCGGGCCUGGUGGCCGCUGCGAGUGUCCGGCAGGCUGGCUGCUGUGCUCAGAGACGACGCCUGUGGGGCCGCAGCCUGCGUCCCACUUCCACUUCCAUGAAAGCCCCUAUUCCUGUGGAAGGCCCGAUCCAGGUUUAAGAAAGUGUGACUAGGAGACACCUGAAGAGCUGACGAGCACCCCUGAAGCAAAGCAGAGGCACCAGGGGUUCCCCACAGCAGCGGUGUUAGUGCGGAGCUGGUGACUCUAGCCCCGCCACCGGCCCCAGGGACAAGGAAGACCGGCGUUUGGGUCCGUGCUGCAGAAGCCUGGGUGUGACGGGGACGGGGCGCCGACCGAGAGCAGGGACUGACCUGCCUAUCCUCACUCCGGGAGCGAAGAUGGGGUUCUCGGGGACGGCGCACCUCUCACCAACAGUCCCACACCGGGGAGACCCCACCACAUUCCCCUGGGGCCCAGAGGGAGCCGCCGUUGCUGUUUCAGUUAGGAAAAAGGACACAGGAACGAACGCCGUGAGCCCUGCGACGGUCCCGCAGGCCCGGCUGGCCGCCCCCACUCUCCCCUCGCAGACGCCCCCACAGCAGGCCCACUCCGGACGUUUGCGGAAAGCCUGUCUGACUUUUGGGGAGACGACCCAACUGCUCGGAGCUGAGGAUGUGGGGUCCUCUGCUGGACUCUGAACCGGCACGCCCGCUUGUUGGACCCCGUCAGCUGGACAUGCCCUGGCUGUGACCGCCCCAGGCAGCCCGUGGGCCACUACCUCUAAGUCCAGUGGAGCCUCUGAGCUGCCCGGGGCUGGGGCUCUACAGGCGCGUGGGGAGGAGGAAAGCAGAGGCCGACCCUCCGGGAAGGGCGGGAAUUAACCAGAGACCCGUCCUCCUGAAUGGACCCUGACGUGCCACAGCCGACUUUCAAGCUUUCAUGAAAGAGGCCGUUUUCUGCUAUUUCAGCUGACCCGGUGCACUGAGAGAGGAAACCGGCCAGUUUUUUUAAACUAGAAAAGCAUUAAUUUUGGAACAACAGUUCUUUUAAAAUUAAAAACAUGAUUUUACUCGUGACGAUGGAUUAAAAAAUACUAAAUGAGGGGCCUCCCUGGGGCACAGCGGGUUGAGCGCUGCGCUGUGAAGCUGUCUGCAGCCUCUGCAGCGCAGGUUUGAUCCCGGCCGGCCAGGGAGAUCCCCGCAUGGCGCAGACCCCUCCUGCCGCCCGCUGCUCCCCUCAGCAGUGUCUUCGGUCCGUCUGCCUGCUCUGCUCCCCACUGGCUCUGGUGGAUCCUCUCGCCCUCCCUCGCCUCUGACCUG
Molecule: long non-coding RNA, 2403 nt
Organism: Talpa occidentalis (Iberian mole)
Lineage: Eukaryota; Metazoa; Chordata; Mammalia; Eulipotyphla; Talpidae
Exons: 3
Source: RefSeq, a predicted model, not a curated record